Molecule: ribosomal RNA, 974 nt
Filed under: Salmonella enterica
Lineage: Bacteria; Pseudomonadati; Pseudomonadota; Gammaproteobacteria; Enterobacterales; Enterobacteriaceae
Description: partial 23S ribosomal RNA
Rfam family: Bacterial large subunit ribosomal RNA
Source: RNAcentral
AGACCCGAAACCCGGUGAUCUAGCCAUGGGCAGGUUGAAGGUUGGGUAACACUAACUGGAGGACCGAACCGACUAAUGUUGAAAAAUUAGCGGAUGACCUGUGGCUGGGGGUGAAAGGCCAAUCAAACCGGGAGAUAGCUGGUUCUCCCCGAAAGCUAUUUAGGUAGCGCCUCGUGAAUUCAUCUCCGGGGGUAGAGCACUGUUUCGGCUAGGGGGCCAUCCCGGCUUACCAACCCGAUGCAAACUGCGAAUACCGGAGAAUGUUAUCACGGGAGACACACGGCGGGUGCUAACGUCCGUCGUGAAGAGGGAAACAACCCAGACCGCCAGCUAAGGUCCCAAAGUCAUGGUUAAGUGGGAAACGAUGUGGGAAGGCCCAGACAGCCAGGAUGUUGGCUUAGAAGCAGCCAUCAUUUAAAGAAAGCGUAAUAGCUCACUGGUCGAGUCGGCCUGCGCGGAAGAUGUAACGGGGCUAAACCAUGCACCGAAGCUGCGGCAGCGAACGUAUCACCCAAGACAACUUUACGGAGUUGACGAUUGACGGAGCGAAGCGACGUCAAAGCGUUCAUUAAAGUCGAGUUGGCUUAGGGAUACGUUCGUUGGGUAGGGGAGCGUUCUGUAAGCCUGUGAAGGUGUGUCGUGAGGCAUGCUGGAGGUAUCAGAAGUGCGAAUGCUGACAUAAGUAACGAUAAAGCGGGUGAAAAGCCCGCUCGCCGGAAGACCAAGGGUUCCUGUCCAACGUUAAUCGGGGCAGGGUGAGUCGACCCCUAAGGCGAGGCCGAAAGGCGUAGUCGAUGGGAAACGGGUUAAUAUUCCCGUACUUGGUGUUACUGCGAAGGGGGGACGGAGAAGGCUAUGUUGGCCGGGCGACGGUUGUCCCGGUUUAAGCGUGUAGGUGUGUGUUCCAGGUAAAUCCGGUUCACUUUAACACUGAGGCGUGACGACGAGGCACUACGGUGCUGAAGCAACAAAUG